CUCCCCACCCCCGUGCUGGCUUUGAUGGACGAAUGGAUGGAUGGGUAGAAGGAUGACCAUUCUUACUUUCUGUUCAUUCGAGCAGUUCAGGAUAAAAACGAGUUAUACAUAUUAUUUUACUUUACUUUGUCUCUAACAAGCUGUGAAACUUAUUUCAAGCUAUACCAGAGAUGUUUGAUAAUAUAUAUACUCGUUCUUUCU
This 201-nucleotide long non-coding RNA is filed under the name Physcomitrium patens. RNAcentral describes it as "long non-coding RNA (PPAT_LNC001208)". Lineage: Eukaryota; Viridiplantae; Streptophyta; Bryopsida; Funariales; Funariaceae. The record is from RNAcentral.